RNAcentral lists this ribosomal RNA (494 nucleotides) under uncultured bacterium. RNAcentral's name for it is "partial 16S ribosomal RNA". It matches the Rfam family "Bacterial small subunit ribosomal RNA", at positions 28 to 507 of the family's 1533-position model. The record is from RNAcentral.
GACGAACGCUGGCGGCGUGCUUAACACAUGCAAGUCGAACGGUGAAGCGCCUUCCUUUUUGGUGGGUGUGGAUGAGUGGCGAACGGGUGAGUAACACGUGAGUAACCUGCCCCCUUCUUCUGGAUAACCGCAUGAAAGUGUGGCUAAUACGGGAUAUUCUGGGUCUGUCGCAUGAUGGGUCUGGGAAAGAUAUUGUUUCGGUGGGGGAUGGGCUCGCGGCCUAUCAGCUUGUUGGUGGGGUGAUGGCCUACCAAGGCGGUGACGGGUAGCCGGCCUGAGAGGGUAGACGGUCACACUGGGACUGAGACACGGCCCAGACUCCUACGGGAGGCAGCAGUGGGGAAUAGUGCACAAUGGGCGCAAGCCUGAUGCAGCGACGCCGCGUGAGGGAUGGAGGCCUUCGGGUUGUGAACCUCUUUCGCCAGUGAAGCAGGCCUGCCUCGUUUGUGGGUGGGUUGACGGUAGCUGGAUAAGAAGCGCCGGCUAACUACGUG